UCAGUUAUCAUGGUACCGGUGCUGUGUCCUUCUAAAGUACAGUACUAUGAUAACUGAAG
Gadus morhua (Atlantic cod) is the source of this 59-nucleotide microRNA precursor. Ensembl annotates it as gmo-mir-101b. Its record names the gene gmo-mir-101b. The record is from Ensembl. Lineage: Eukaryota; Metazoa; Chordata; Actinopteri; Gadiformes; Gadidae.